GUGUGUGUGUGUGUGUGUGUACAUAAAUACAGUCAUUAAUACAGUGAUGAUCUUGCAGGCGAAUUCAACUGAUCCUACUGACAUUGGCAGCGGCAGUGACCGUGUCCAAAGCGCAGGGGCUGGGAAUACCUCGCUACACCUGGCAGGAGGUGAGGCAGAACCUUGCAACGCACCAAGACGUCACGGAAAUGGUUGACUGUACCCUUGGCAUCCGGCCGACUAGACUAUGUAGGGGCAUGUUCAAUCAACUAAGAGGUUUCGUGUAUGAAGUAGUGCAACGGAACUGCAUUCGCUGCCCACCGCAGACGAGGAGGGUUGUAAAUCAAGCAGUCGCUCACCUCCAGCGUAAUUACACAAGAGAGUUCAACAGACUUAUACGUGGUGUGAGAUCAUAAGGGAGAUUCAUAUACUGUUUUAGACAUAAGUUUGGUUUAAUAUUUUCAAUAAAGGUGUAUCAUGUGGUACUUAACCUAAUCCAAUGUUUUACACUGAAACGUGACAUCUAUCGUGUGUGAAGAGUACUUUUAAUCAUCCCCGCAGUUUUAUCUGAUAAUAAAGCUUUACUCUGAUACAAUUCCCUGUCCCCUUUUGAGCAUUCUUUGUUUCAUCCAUGUAUCCCGUCCCCUUUGAGAUAAGUGAAAUAAACAGACAAAGAAUAACAUCCCA
Molecule: long non-coding RNA, 666 nt
Filed under: Penaeus japonicus
Lineage: Eukaryota; Metazoa; Arthropoda; Malacostraca; Decapoda; Penaeidae
Description: uncharacterized LOC122258127
Source: RNAcentral